UGAGAGGUGGUGCAUGGCCGUCGUCAGUUCGUACUGUGAAGCAUCCUGUUAAGUCAGGCAACGAGCGAGACCCACGUCCACAGUUGCCAGCAUACCCUCCGGGGUGAUGGGUACACUGUGGAGACCGCCGCUGCUAAAGCGGAGGAAGGAGUGGGCAACGGUAGGUCAGUAUGCCCCGAAUCUCCCGGGCUACACGCGGGCUACAAUGGUUGGUACAAUGGGCAUCUACCCCGAAAGGGGAAGGAAAUCUCUUAAAGCCAAUCGUAGUUCGGAUUGAGGGCUGCAACUCGCCCUCAUGAAGCUGGAAUCCGUAGUAAUCGCGUUUCAACAGAACGCGGUGAAUACGUCCCUGCUCCUU
RNAcentral lists this ribosomal RNA (358 nucleotides) under uncultured Methanosaeta sp. RNAcentral's name for it is "bacterial SSU rRNA". It matches the Rfam family "Archaeal small subunit ribosomal RNA", at positions 981 to 1338 of the family's 1478-position model. Lineage: Archaea; Methanobacteriati; Methanobacteriota; Methanomicrobia; Methanotrichales; Methanotrichaceae. The record is from RNAcentral.